CAGCAGGAAAAAGCCAGCCAGUUAUGACAUGCCCCUUUGCAUGGUGCAUACUUGAGAUGGAACAUCCCAUUUCCCAAGCACUGGAAUUGCUACCCAAGAUUGUCACCCAGGUGAUAAAAACGACAAUGCAGCCAUGUACACAGAUAACUGUCACCAGUGCUCAACCCCUUUGGUUGACAAGGCGCAGACCAUAUUCUCAAAGUUGAGUUGCACGGGCACAGAUGGAUUUGCAGUCUAGCUCAGUAAGCACUGCCAGAGUUCUUAGUUGUGUUGCUAUAUCGUCAGGAGGGUUCCACGAGAUUUAGUGGCAUUUUCUACUUGGAUGGGCAAACCUACUGGGACAGAGGCAUAAUGUCAUAUUUGCUGCAGUUACAAUACCAUAUGUGAAAUCGUAUUGGGUAGCUGAUGUAGAUUCUCAUCCAACUAUGGUUUCCAAAAGAAAUUACUAUGUAGUUGAUUAAUGGAGUUAUCACUAAUUCACUAUAUCUUUAUUACA
RNAcentral lists this long non-coding RNA (496 nucleotides) under Sorghum bicolor (sorghum). Its description in RNAcentral is "long non-coding RNA (SBIC_LNC009635)". The record is from RNAcentral. Lineage: Eukaryota; Viridiplantae; Streptophyta; Magnoliopsida; Poales; Poaceae.